This is a long non-coding RNA of Spinacia oleracea (spinach), 1364 nucleotides long. RefSeq lists it as uncharacterized. The transcript has 7 exons. The record is from RefSeq and is a predicted model, not a curated record. Lineage: Eukaryota; Viridiplantae; Streptophyta; Magnoliopsida; Caryophyllales; Amaranthaceae.
CAAAUACAUUGUCAAGCUCAAUGAAUUCAACCAACCUAUUCGAAAAUGUGGGAAGAUCCUUGUGAGCUUCCUUGGAGAUAUUGCAAAAAAUGAUUCACUUUGUCCAGUGGGAGUCCCAAGUUGGCGUGAUGUGAACAGUAAGUUAAAAACUAAUGUUGUUACAAUGAUUCGGAAACAUUUUGUGUUACCUGAUGGACCUCUAGUUAACAAGGCACUAGUGAUGCGUAUUGACAAACCAUGGAACAAUCAUCGAUACAAAUUGAAGAAGAAUUUUUUCGAUGUGAAUAAAUCUCCAGAAGAGAACUAUGCCAAUCUGCCUGAUGGAGUGUCCAUUAGGAGUUGGACGAAUUUGGUAGAUUAUUGGCUUUUACCAUAGGCCAUGGAAAAAUCUGAAAUGGGAAAAAAAUGCUCGAGCAUUACAAGGCAAUAACCACAACAGUGGUGCUACAAGCUUUGCUAAUCGAAGAGUUGAUAUGAAAGAGAAGAAAGGAGAGUUUAGCGAAUUGGCAUUUUUCAAAUCAGUUUACGCCAAAGAAGAUGGAAGCUUUAAAGAGGGCACACUUCCUCAUCAAUUUGUGGAGGAUGCCAACAAAAAGGUCCAAGAAAGCUUGCGAGUUCCUCUUCUUCAAAGCCCGUAAUUGAAAUUGAGAAUGCAGUCUUUAAUGAGCUCAUGUAUAAAGGUGAAGUACCUAAACGUCCUCUGAAUUAUGGAUUUGGAGUGAAGCAAAGCGACAUCUUUGGAGUGGAAGGUUUGCUGAGGAAAGAAGGGUCAGGCUAUGUUAACAACAAUGCUAUGGAAGUGGAGAACAUGAAAGGUGAAAUAUCAGUUGUCAAGAAGCAAAAUGAGGACCUUGCGCAACAAAAUCAAGUUCUGCAUACCAAGUUCGAAGAAACAACACAAUCAUUUAAAAUGAUUGCUUCUUUUUUGGGACAAGUUUUGAAGGAAGUACGCAAAGGGAAUGUUUCAUCGAACCUUUUAGAUGGUGCGGAAUCAGCAAUAAAUAUGAUUACUGAUGAUUCUGGUGGCAAUGGUGACAACCAGGCCGAGAAAUGAGACUUUGACACUAUUGCCAAAUGCAAGAUUAUUGAUGAUUCAAGUGGUAAUAGUAAAUGUAGAUCAAGAGAUGAACAAGUUAUCUUGAAGCUAAGCUAGCAUAAGGAUAGGUUUACUUGUUCGUAACCUUGUUUUUAUUUAGUUUUGGACUAUCUUGUAGAAAAAAUGAUAAUGCUAGUUAGAAAGUUAUUUUUGUUUUAAAAAUAUCACUUUUAUUUCAGUUUGACUAGACUCUGCGAAUUAAUUUAAUGUAUAGAUGAUUUUUAUCACUUUUUCUAAAUUAACUACUUAAGUAUAUAUAUGAAUCAUA